UCUUUGCUAAUGUGUCUUGGCUAAUGUGUCUUGGCUAAUGUGUCUUGGCUAAGGUGUCUUGGCUAAUGUGUCUCGACCAAUGUGUCUUGGCUAAUGUGUCUUGGCUAAUGUGUCUUGGCUAAGGUGUCUUGGUUAAGGUGUCUUGGCUAAUGUGUCUUGGCUAAGGUGUCUUGGCUAAUGUGUCUUGGCUAAGGUGUCUUGGCUAAUGUGUCUUGGCUAAUGUGUCUUGGCUAAUGUGUCUUGGCUAAGGUGUCUUGGCUAAUGUGUCUUGGCUAAUGUGUCUUGGCUAAGGUGUCUUGGCUAAGGUGUCUUGGCUAAUGUGUCUCGGCAAAUGUGUCUUGGCUAAGGUGUCUUGGCUAAUGUGUCUUGGCUAAGGUGUCUUGGCUAAGGUGUCUUGGCUAAGGUGUCUUGGCUAAUGUGUCUUGGCUAAUGUGUAUUGGCUAAUGUGUCUUGGCUAAUGUGUCUUGGCUAAGGUGUCUUGGCUAAUGUGUCUUGGCUAAGGUGUCUUGGGUAAUGUGUCUUGGCUAAUGUGUCUUGGCUAAGGUGUCUUGGUUAAGGUGUCUUGGCUAAUGUGUCUUGGCUAAGGUGUCUUGGCUUAUGUGUCUUGGCUAAUGUGUCUUGGCUAAAGUGUCUUGGCUAAAGUGUCUUGGCUAAUGUGUCUUGGCUAAUGUGUCUUGGCUAAGGUGUCUUGGCUAAUGUGUCUUGGCUAAUGUGUCUUGGCUAAGGUGUCUUGGCUAAUGUGUCUUGGCUAAGGUGUCUUGGCUAAUGUGUCUUGGCUAAGGUGUCUUGGCUAAU
Long non-coding RNA from Anopheles funestus (African malaria mosquito), 795 nucleotides. RefSeq lists it as uncharacterized. Lineage: Eukaryota; Metazoa; Arthropoda; Insecta; Diptera; Culicidae. The record is from RefSeq and is a predicted model, not a curated record. The transcript has 3 exons.